Acanthaster planci (crown-of-thorns starfish) is the source of this 11522-nucleotide long non-coding RNA. Lineage: Eukaryota; Metazoa; Echinodermata; Asteroidea; Valvatida; Acanthasteridae. The record is from RefSeq and is a predicted model, not a curated record.
CGGAAUGUGCUGCCGAUAGGUGGAUCGCACGUGAACACGCAAAGGGACGCCAUUGCUGUGGCCUCCGAUUCAACUAUUAGCUCUGCAUUUAUCGCCAAAAAUGCUUUAUUUCUCGUAAAUUUAAGCUCACGAACUUCGGUGAACCAUGGAGAAAUAAAACACAUGGGUGACCAUCCUAAGCGUACUUUAUGAGGAAAAGUGUGCCAUUGGAGCUUGUCUUCGCCAUCUCUUCGCUGAUGUACAUUCUUCUUGAAGAAACUGUCGUGUAUGCAGCCAUCACCUCAGUGAUACACAGUUUGAUUUCCAGUUGAAUGGCCUUCAGUUGAAAGGAUGUACAUUCUUCUUGAAGAAACUGUCGUGUGUGCAGCCAUCACCUCAGUGAUACACAGUUUGAUUUCCAGUUGAAUGGCCUGAUCAAGUAAAGGGUGAGUUUAACUUUCUUUGUUAUUUGCUCCAUCAAAACCAGACAAAGCUCGUGCCAGAAAUUCUUGAAUUUUGUGAAAAUUACCAUUGUUGUAAGGAAGAGUGCCCAUUUUAUAGAUGUUUUAUGCUUUGAACACAUUAUUGCAGAUACUGAAUUUACAUCUACAUGACUUUGAAAAGUUAUGCACCAUAUCUCUAAGUUACAGUACAUGAAUAAUGCACAGUACAAAGGAUGUGCAUGUACGAAUUCACAUGCUGAUGAAACACCCAAAAUAUGGGGAUCAAUCGGCAUUAUCUGAUCUGAAGACAGAUGUGUUCAGUCUUGCACACUGCUGUUUAAGAAAUGCAGUCUGGUUUGUUUGUCACAACUAGUACCAGCAUACUGAAUUUGUUGUGAGAAUGUGCAAUCGUCAAGUCAAAAGAAUAUUUCUAGUCUGGCAAGCAUGGUUUUGAUGGAGCUAAUUCCUGUGAAUAAAAAAAUCAUGGUCUCUGUUUACCAAACCAAAAAUGGGUCUUCUACUAACAAUCCUGAACUUUUGUGCUCUAUUUUUGAAGUAGAAAAUUAGAGCUUUUUUAGUCUUUCAUCCAAGUUUUCAUUACUAUGAUAGUUGUAUUAGAGCUUAAACAACCCCUAAAACUGUAAAAGUUUUGAGACAGUUUAAAAUGCAUAAAUUAUGUUUUGAGAAUAUGCAUAUGUGUAAGAAUUAUUUCUAGAAAGAAUGCAAAAUUUAGUGAAUGCUAAAAGGUUCUAAAAUGUUUUCACGAGAGAAUUACUCCUUGUUUUUCAUACAAAAAAUUUGGGGAACAACUGACCGUUGACAUGGUUACAUAUGUUUGUUUCUUUCCAUUUUUUUUCUGUGUGAUAACUACACCGGAUAGUAUACUUAAACAUGGCUAUUAUAUUGAAAGUGCUGCACCAGAUCACUGUAGGUGUGGAACUUCAGAUAAAAGCUCUGUUGCCAUCUCAAUGGAUGGAGAACAAAACUGUACAGUACUACAUUGAGUCAAAAUUCAUAUUUUGUGGCAGUUUGUACAUUUUGUCAAUCCUUUCUCUGGUUUUAUACAAAUGCUCAAAUCUGACUGUGAUCCAGUUGAGGUAAACUAUUUGUUGCUGUGGAUUCUGUUAGCCUCAGUCUUUAUGCAGUUCAUGAUUCUAGUCUAAUGUUUCUGCCCAAAGCUGAAGUAUUGAGCAUCAGAAUUGGGCUGUUUUAACCACUGCAUGUUGUACAUGUGGAACAUGUAAAUACGAUCUUGUCUGCAUGUGCACAGCUGACAUGUUCAACUGCCAAGCGUACCUCGACUCGCCUCUUGAUGAUGUUUGAACACACUUGUCCCUGAUUUGUUUCAUACAUGUACGCAAAGUCCAUGGAAAGGCACUGUGUUUUGAAUUUAGCUGCUUUGCAUGGCUUCGGUCUUCUCGCAUAUACAUGCACUGUUUGUAGAUGCACCCUGGGAUACAUGUCACAAAGAUGAAAGACUGCGGGAAAAUCACACAAAUACUAUUCAAAUUACUCUAACCAGUAUUUCUCUGCAUAUGGCUAAGGCAUUGAAAGUUGGCUGCUCUCCUUGCUCUUUUUAGAAGUUUAAAUAUGGAUUAAAAACAAUGUUCAUCUCCAUGAUCAGAAAUUUCCCCAAAAGCUUCAAAUAAUUUAAGAAACUACCUGAAAGAGCAUCCGUUUUUUUCAAUAAGUGCCCCACAUUUUUAAAAUAGAACAUCCCACGUGUCUGGGGGUACUAGACUAUGAUGUCCAUUCUAGCUUGGUAAGACAAAAUAUUUGUAAUUUUCUUUUUUCAUAAAAUGUGGGAUACAUCACAAUUGUCUUUAGAAACAGAAAAGAAAUGUCCCUUUUCUUCGGAGUGCACUGGAGGUAAGGACUAACUGGAGAGAAAGUCCAUUUUUGAUACACACAAAACUUUGAUCUUUCUUUGGUCAAAGUUUUUUUCAAGUAACCUGAUUUUUACAGAGUUUGGGCCACAUGACCUGUAUGUAGGCCUUUGUUAAUUAAAGUGCAUGCAAUGAAACAGUGGUAGUGUGGGCUGCAGUCAGCAUGUGGUAUGCAACCACAACAUUAAUCGCUCAAGCAAUGCAGUUGUCUCACGCUAAUCUUAUUUGCCCGAAACCUGUAGCAAAGAAAAGAAGUCAAAAAGGGUUCAGUUCAAGAAAGUUCUUGUGUAUUACUACAACUAUGGGGGGUACUUGGGGUCCAAUCAUUCCACCUUUCAAGGCACUAGUUACCAUUACUUUAGUGAAUGGAUAUCCGCUUUUGAAAUAAAAAAUUCAAAUCCACAAUUUUAACCACUUGACGCCAAAUGACGUGUAAACACAUAAUUUCCCAUAUUUUUUCCACGGAGGAUGUUUGCAGUCAUUUAAGAAUUCUUUUUUCAUUUCCGUGGUUGACAUAUUAACGCGUUGAAGUGCAGUUGCAAGGUUGAAAAAUUUGCGGGUAAAAUAACUUGUCCCAGCACCAUUUAAGCAAAUCCGACGUUAAUUGGUUAAGUGCAAAGGUUUCACACCGGAUGUAAAACUUCAGUUCUUUUCCACAAGAAGUACAUGAAAUUGCUUCCUCUUCUUUGAUCAUGAAUUCUACCUUGUUGCCAUGUAUUCCAAAUUGAGAAUUUUAGCCAAGUUGUGAAGGCAAUAAUGUCAGCGCUCAGAUUUGUGCUUUUGAUGGUGCAUACUGUCUAUUCAGUCCAACUGUUGAAUUAAAAUUAAUCAACCCCUGGUUGAUAACUUUUCGAAACAGUGGAUUCCAUUAUUAUUUUGGGCUUUUAAUUCCUUUUUCAGCAAAUACUUGUUUCUGAGUUACUCAGGGUAACAUUUUGUAAGUCCCAAAAUGCAACAGAGAAUUGACCAGGUAAGUACAGUCCCCUUUGAGGACAAGCUUAAACAUAGGUCCACAUAAUUUUGGAAUCCACUGUAGAAACCUGUAUGUAGUAGAAAAAUCCUUGCGGAUUUAUAUUAACAAAAGUAAUGACACGUGUUUACUUACAGUAAAAUUAUCACGAAAAAACACUUCCCACCUAAAUUUUUAAAUAGAUACUCAGUUUUCAAAAAAAUACUUAGGUUUACUGAGUAUGUUUUGACAUUCUCAAUAUCUGUAUAGAACAAUUUGAAAUCCACACUGAAGAACUCUGCUGUUGUAUUGAUGAGUGAUAUGGAUUGCGGUAGUAUAAAAACAUUGACAAAUAUUAUCUUGGAUUUCUAUAGUUAGCUAAUGAUUAUGAUCCUAUUUCUUUGCUUCACCUAACAGUUCUGAAUCCUCCAAUUUCCAUGUAAUUAGUCAUAUAUUGUGAUUGUGCUAAAAAAGGAUUAACCUAAUCCUGCUUAAAUAACAUGGAGUGUAAAUUGCACAUAAAUCUUGUCGGAUUUGGCAAUGCCAAGGGUUAAAUUAACUUAUUUCAGGAAAUAAUUGGCACAAAAAAUCCAAAGGUUAAAAUUUUUUCCAUGUUAAAAUGUCAGUUGAAAUGUCAUUACUUUUACAGUGAUUUAAAAUUGGACACAACUGUGCAAAAAUUGAAGUUUUGCUGAUGGUUUAAUUUUAAUAUUUUCUGUAACAGUCUGGCUUUUCAACUGCAUAAGUGCAUCAAGAAUUGAUGAUUUUCACAGGAAUACUCAGUGGAUAAUUGUACCCAAAAUCUUUUGUUAAGAUCUGUAACUGAAUAUGCAAUGUGUGAAAUUUUGAACAGACAAGAAAUACAGUUCUCACACAUGUUGGAGCAUGACAAACUAGGACACAACUUGUAAAUUCCCCCCAAAAUUCGGCACUUUUCAAGGACUGUUUAUCUUUUUGAUAGCAACCUCUAUACAUUUAAAUGUAUGCUACAUUCCUUACCAAUCAGUACAAAUUAGUGUAAACCUUCUAAUGUGUGAGAAAGAGAAACAUUGGAGGAUUUAGAACUGUAAGUGUUCAGUGUAUGCACCAAAUGUCUUAUUCAGGGGAAUUUUGUAUGUGUAUUUUCAGCAACAGUCAACUGUUGAAGAAUAACAACUUUUGAGGAAUUCAAGUUAAAAGUGCACCGAGCAGGAAAUAAAGUUCAAUUCAUGGUAUUAAGUAACAAAAUAUUUGGGGGAAGGGAUGGGGUGUAAAAAUGCACUUCGAAAUUUUACUUUUAUUUACUCUACAUGGCUUUUACUGAAUUUCUUUAUGCAAACUGCAUAUAAAAAAAAGUAAUCAAAGAUAUUGAAAACAUGAUGCCAAUAGCUGGAUGAAAGCUGCCUCGUGUUCUGAGGAGUUUAUAUUGUGAAGAUUCUCAAAAUUUUUAAGAAUGUCAAUACUAUUAAAAUAGAAUCUAUUAUAAGAGUGGCUUUCCCAUAUUUCCAAGGUGGAAAUUAACUUUCAAUAAUCAUGCAUUACAUUGCAAUUCAUCAAUCACUUUAAGUUAAUAUAAAUGUUAUGCUAUGCGUAACAUGUUUAUGCUUAAUUAUACAUCUUGAAAAUGUUUAUGCUUUACGUAGAUUAAAUUCACUGCAUAGAUUUCCUCAUUCUUUAAGAAUCCUUAUGUUUUGUCAUGACAUCCUAAACUUUAACCAUUCUGAAUCCAACAAAUAUGCAUGAUUUCAAUGGUCCCUAGGGGUUAGGGUUAAGAAUCCAGAUUUUCAGGAGUCUAAUUCCCCGCAGAGUAUGUCAAUUAUUAUGGAAUUCAGACCUAAGACUUUGAAACCAGUUGCGUUGACAUCAACUGCAAACUAUUGGAUGAAGUCCUCUUGAUUUGUCAGAAAAAGUUGCCUGUCCAGCUGUAAACUGUUGACUCUUGUUAGUGGUAACAUACCAGAAAUGUCAAUUAAGUGAAUGAAACCAAAUUAAGGAUGUCAUUGAACUUGGCGGUGUUUACAUUGAUCGAUGGAGGCGUGAAGGCAGGAUGGUCAGAGCUUGCAGGUCCUUUGCUCAUCCUAUUGCCUGUUCACAAGAGGCACUCAAGAUGUAUUGGGACAGCAUCUGAGGAAACUGAGUUCUAACAACCAUCAUUGGAAAAGGAGUCCUCAGAACUUUAACAUCUUUAGUCUUCCCUGUUGAUGAAAAAUGCUAAAUGUACAUGUGGUGAUGUCAAUUAUCUCCAAAUAAUCUCCAGUCUCCAAACUGGAGCCUUGUGACAGUUGUCACGGUGGUACAUGUAUGCCUACUCUCUGAUUGGAAACAUCUAUCAAUUCACAUGGAAAUCCCAUCAGCUUCAGCAAAUGCGGACUGGUGAUAGUUCAUCAAAUUGACAUCACUCAACAAAGUGGAGAACGGAGACUCUUGAAGUUCAUCAAGACAUAAUGGCAUCUCCUUUCCAGUAGAAAACUGGAACGUAAAAGGCCAUUACUGUGAAACCUCCCAUCCAGUAGCCAAUGGAAACCUGUGAUAAUUCAUCACAGAAAUGUCUCCACCUAGUAAAUGGAGACGUAGACAAUUCAUCACAUUGGUGUCUGUGAAAUCAGUAGCAAAUGGAGAACUCAUAAUGACACCAGUCCACCUGCCAGCAAACGAGGAAGUGCAUUCUGUCACAGUGAUAUCUCUCCACCUACAGCAAACAGCAAUGUCUGAGAGGGUAUCAUAUUGACAUUGGUCCUCCUGCAGCAAAUGGACACCUGUGGACAGUUCAUCACAGUGACAAUUCUCCAUCCAGUAGCAAGUGGACACAUGCAUUUUCAAAGUGAAAUCUCUCCGACCACAGGCAAUUAAUGGAAUGCCAACGGAUAAUCACAAUGAUGUCUGUCCACCAAGACCUGUAAUAGAUCACCACAGUAACAUCUCUCCACGUGGCAGCAAAGGCAGUUACCAUGCAAUUUUGAUGAUGACUCUCCAACCAUUAGGAAAUGAAGACCUAUGAAGUUUUGUUUCCUGAACUGCAUGAUUGGAGACAUUGGAUAAGUUCAUAAUUAAGUGGAGAUCAAAGAGGCAGCUCACCUUAAAAAUGACCGUCCCUCCAAAUACUUGAUACAUAAAACUCAAGAUAAGUAAAAAUCCAUCACAAUAAAAAUCAUCCUCUCCUGGAUAUGUUGCUGUUUUGGUUGCAGUCCAUAAGAAUAAUUCUCUGCCUUAGAAUAUGACUCCUGAAAAUAUGGUUUCUCUUAAGGCCACUUUAAACUCCAGUAAAAAUGUAGUUAAUUUGAAUUACUUUGAAAGUCCAAGGGUGAAGAAACUGAUUUUUUUUACCCGUUGUACGGGGUCAAUUGGGUUGGGUGCCAUAGCACAGCGAGGCUAAAACAGAUUAUGUGGUUUCUUAGAGAUUGACAUUGUAUCUUUACAUGGGGGAAUUGGGGUAGGGUUAUACUUUAUUUUUCGUUUGGUCUGGGAUGGGGUGGUACAUUUAGAUUUGUUGAGGCAAUAUGUGCUGGAUCCUUGGAAUGACCCAACAUCAGGGUGUCACUUGGCUGUUACACAGGUGGCUGGUGUUGACAGCAUGUCUCUACCUUUGUAGUAAAUGGAAGCUUUAACAAGAUGAAGUGUGAGGGUGAAAUGUUUCUACCCAUGGGGAAAAAUAAUCCACAGCAGUGUGGGAGGGGGGGGUAGGGUAGAUUGAGGAUUUAAUUCUGUGAAAUGCAUUUGAUCCUUGGAAUGGCCCAACAUCAGGGUGUCAGUUGGGUACAAUAUACCCGGCUGGCGGUGACAGUGCAUCUUCAUUUACCAGAUGUGGACUCUGAAUGUUGGUAUUAGAGGGGAUCAUUUAAAAAUGUCUAAGUGCAGUCUUAAUACUUUACAUUUAUUUUCUUUCAAUAUAGAAGUACUACUGCAGAUAAUGGAUGAUCCUGUGUAUUGGAUGAGCUAUUUAUGCUGUAAAAAUCAUAUUGAACUGGACAUGUACCAUUUCUGAGAGACUGCUAAAAAAGAAUUUGGCAUGAUUUUUAACAGUUCUUUUUAAAGGCUAAAAACAGUAACUCUUGAAUUCCUACCCAGUUCAGUGUGAAUUUUUUAAUGUGGGACUUUUUUAUGAUUUGUUGGAGCAUGAAUUGGAACUGAAUGGUGAUCUCAUUUUCCUUGAUAUGUGCUCUUUUCAUAAUUAUACUUUGUCAUCAAUUUAACUUGCAAAGAGGAACCUUCUUUCAAAAUGCAAUGUCAAAUGAUUGCUUCCUUGAGAGGAGAUUUCAGCAGCACAUGGAGUUGCCUAUAUUUGGCAUCAUAAAACACCAUUGUUAAAUUGAUCAUGUUCAUUUUUUGCUUUUAAAACCAACCACAAGUGAUCACAAUUCAUGUCUAAUGAUGGCUCCUUUUACAGUAAUGAAGACAGUUGGACUGAAUAAUACGAAGAAGAUCAAGACGGUUCUUUAAUCUUUCACAACUGAUUUAUUUCCCAAACUACGUGAACAGUAGUGUCUCUACUAACACGUUCCCUUUUGGCAGUAUAAAGCAGAACUUAUGGUCAGUAGUGCAUGACUGUGAAGUUUGAUUUGGCAACAGUGUUCUUACUUCAGUGACUGGCAUUAAAAAAGGUUUCAGUGGCAAACACGUAGCCCUGGUUUUGCUUGACUAUUCCACAAUUUAUUUUAACUCGCAAAAUUAAGCUGUGCAGUUACACAAAAGAUAAUAGUCAGUUUUGGAACAUCCUUCUAAAAAGUUAUUCAACAUUGCUGUUGGUAAAUUUUCACCAUCCUGGCUUUACAUUUCCAUUUGCUGCAGCCGAACUGCCGAACCGAACCAAAAAUCAUACGAAUUUGCUCGAAAUCUAAUUUGAUCUUUUAUCCCGUAAAGGAAGAAACUCCCAUUUGAAUAUGCUGGGUUUUUUUCUGUUUUCACAAAUCCUAUGAUCGUUUUUAGUCAGGUGUGGUACAGACACGACUGCUUUUGGUUGGCAAAAACACGGUCGGAAACUGUCACACCUCCAUCGGUAACUCUCUAUGGAAUUUGAACUCCUAAACAAACAUUUGGGGAAACAAUUUAGAAAAAAAAUAUGUUCACAACGAAGUUGCUAGUGGAUGGGGAUGGAAACAUUCAUUCAUUGCUUGUAUUAACAUAUUUGACACAAGGAAAUACUGUAUAAGGCACGUUCGUUCGUAGCAUGCUCUACGAUGUCUGAAUGUGCAUUACGUGUACGUGUCCAAACCCGAACCGAAGUUUGGCAACAAAUUUCCAAACCGUGUCCGAACCGAACCCGAACCAAACCUUUGUGCCUACUUCCAGCACUAGAUAUUGUGCUUAAAUUCUCAAGCCCAUUGCACUCUACCCCACUCUACCCAUCCUGGUAUGUUGUUGUACAGUAUACAUAUGCUCACACCAAAGAUGCAAAAAUUUAGUUGUGAAUUUCACUGUCUCAAUUUCGCAAUACUGUCCAGUCGCGAUUUCGCUCUUAAAUUUGUCAGCCCAUUGCGUUCCACCAUGUUGCACCCACCCUAGCUGUGCCACUGGAUAGUGUUUAUUUUCAUGACAAAAACUUGUAUUUGAAAGAUGUAUUUGCAAAAAUGACUCCAGUGACUCCCAGGAAAAAUCUCCAAAUGGUUUUGGUGAUGCAGUGGCCAACAUGUUUGUGGCCCUGCUAAUAGGAAUCUACUCAGGGUGUAAAAAAGUAAUGAGAGCACACACUCGUUUUCCUUUUGUCAUUAAUGUGCUGUGUAAAUUAAAAAAAGGCAUCACUUUUGCAAUCAAAUUACCUCAACCGGAUCAGCAGAAUUACACAAUUACACAAAGUUAUUAAUUGAUGGUAGCCAAUGGACGCUCAAAUGGGAUAGACUACACGUCCGGCAAGGCAGGGUACAGGAUCAGCAUAUUGCAUCUUUAAAAGAUCUGUGUAAUCCUAAACCAAAUUGGUUUCAUUGCAAAAAAAGUAGCAAUCCUAUUGAAGGCACGUGAUGCGUAAUCACAAAGUUCUUCUCUAAUCAGUUGCUCAAGCUGAUUGACAUGGCUCAAGCUGAUUGACAUGAGUCAAAUUUGAUAAUCACAGGGUGGCCACUAGCAUUAAGUAAAACUUGCAUGCAAAUAUUGUGUAGAUAACAACUGUAAGAGUGCACAAAUUAAAUGUCUCUCAAAUUUGCGCAAACUUGUCUCAGUUCUCACAAGUCGAAGCAUUUCUCAAUGUAUUUGGUGGCUACCCUAAUGAGUGAGAAGACAGAAAUUUAAACUGAUCCUGUGCCCUGUCUUUCACAAAUUAAAUGUAAUUUGAGAAACUAACAUGUCUUGUAUCUUCCUAUCCGCAUGUACCGUACAACCGAGGAAUCCAGUGAGAAGCUACUUCUGCAACCCUUGGCAAACUACAAGAACUACCGAUGGCUGUGUCCGUGAUGGUCAUGUCUGCAGAGCUCUUAUCAAGACUUGGCUAAACGAAACAAAAGGCAAAUCCAUGGCAAUGAGGAACUUGUUUACACAUGAACUAACGCUUUCAACAAGUUCAGACAAAAUGGCCAAGAAAACUUAAGCAAAGAAAUUUUAUUUACAUUUCAAACAAAACUCCAUUUCUUUGACAUUAACAAAAGAUUGGCCCAUUGUUUUUGUAAUUUGUUGAAUAUUUUGUGCAUGGUCCCCUUUUUCCACUCGAACCAAGUGUUCUGUCCUUGCCGUGGAUUUGCACAGACAAAUACCAAAACUAAAUUCACCUCAGACCAGGCAUAUGUUGAAAAUCAGAGACUUAAGAAUUUGCCUUCAACCAGUUCAGGCUAAAAGGAGUGUCAAUCUGCAAAACUGUUUCACCAAGUCUCAGCGGCAGUGGAUGCGUAUGCAUGUGCUAUGUAUCACAGGUGGCCAGUGGUGUUACACAUAAAAUCUCUGCUACAUCUACGGGGUCUAUGCCUCUGUAUGCUGCCUGGAGUCGCAGUAAAUAUCACAUCACAAAAGAUAAAGUGUGAACAGGCGUAAAUAUUUUUUCUUUGUAGAAAUGACUCUAGAAAGUUGCUUUUGGCAUUGGUCAGAAACAAUCUUGCACUGCUUGCUGUAAAAUUCAUGAAAUAACAACGUUAAGUUGUUAAAUUCCGAUAUUCAGUGUCUCUCCAUCUAACUGAACCCAUAUCAUCUGAAUAUUACUGAUUUAAAUUAAUGUCUAACACCCUGACAUCAGUUACUUUUGCAUUGGAAGUUCGAACUCUAGCUUCCUUGCUCCUAUCGUUUUUUUAAAACCGUUUAAAGGUGAUUUUAUCCUUACAAUUUAGCAACUUGAAUUUUAGCCUGAUCUGGUUAACCAGAAGGAAAAAAAGGGUCAGUGUAACCAAACAAUUUCAACAUGUGCCUGGUUCAGUUUCGUUAAGCUCGUAAGUUUUCAUAGAUUUUAAAAAUAGCAUUCUUAAUGCAUGUAUAAACUUUUGAAUAUGUACACCAGCACAUUGUACUGUACUUGAGUUCCGUGAAUGGCCGAUUGCAAGUGUGCUUGGAAUUUUUAUGACAUACGUCCAAAGUGGGUGAUUUACCUAUGACACUGUCAGUACAUUUUUUUAAAGAAUGGAAACGACCAGCAUGUUUUUUGUAUGCGAAUCAAUCUUUAAUUUCCUUUUACUGGUAUCUACAGAUCAGGCAUGCAACUUGGCCUUUGACAAGAAAUGAGGACAUUUCAAUCUUUACAAGACUUUGUAAAGUGUUUUUCAUUUUUCAGUGGCAUGAAUAAAAAGUGAAAAAUGAGGAAAUUAACUGAUCCGAGGAAAGUUGCAUGCCUGUUUAACACUGAAACAGUUAACCAAGUGAAAAACUUUGAAGUGCAUGUAAUAGAUUGAAUAUGAAUGACUUAGAUGCAUUUCAGAAACUCGUAUGAUGUGCUGGUGUACAUUUAUUGUCUGGAUUUUACUGAAUAAAGAAUACGGGUUGGGGGGGUGCGUGUUUUGUGUUAAAUACACCUGCUGUCUAUUUCGCUAUUGAGCUGCACAUGCCACUGAAUUUUUGGACAAGUUUUUGACUUUCAACAAAAAAAAAAGGAAAUUGGAGUAAAUAAGCAGGCGAUAUUUCAAUCCAAAAACUAGUGAGGCUGCUUGUAUUGAAAUAGACAGCAGGUGAUGUGUUGGGAGGGGGUCAAAAUGGAGUGUACGCGACAUUUAAGUUGGAGGUUAAAAAUCUUGGGGCUUUCGGAAUGGGAACCUAAAGACAUUUCUAAGUUGAUACAUGUUUAUAUGAAUUAUUUAUGUGAAUUUGGGAAAUGUGAAAUGGAAUAAAAAGAGCAGUUUUCACUUGCAAUUUGUUUCCUUUGUAUGGGUAAGUUUAUUUACAUUU